RNAcentral lists this ribosomal RNA (375 nucleotides) under uncultured organism. RNAcentral describes it as "partial 16S ribosomal RNA". It matches the Rfam family "Bacterial small subunit ribosomal RNA", at positions 527 to 896 of the family's 1533-position model. The record is from RNAcentral.
GUAGGUGGCAAGCGUUGUCCGGGAAUUAUUGGGGCGUAAAGCGCGCGCAGGCGGUUCUUUAAGUCUGAUGUGAAAGCCCACGGGCUCAACCGUGGAGGGUCAUUGGAAGCUGGAGAACUUGAGUACAGAAGAGGAAAGCGGAAUUCCACGUGUAGCGGUGAAAUGCGUAGAGAUGUGGCGGAACACCAGUGGCGAAGGCGGCUUUCUGGUCUGUAACUGACGCUGAGGCGCGAAAGCGUGGGGAGCAAACAGGAUUAGAUACCCUGGUAGUCCACGCCGUAAACGAUGAGUGCUAAGUGUUAGGGGGUUUCCGCCCCUUAGUGCUGCAGCUAACGCAUUAAGCACUCCGCCUGGGGAGUACGGCCGCAAAGGCUG